RNAcentral lists this transfer RNA (308 nucleotides) under Azospirillum rugosum. Its description in RNAcentral is "tRNA-Arg". Lineage: Bacteria; Pseudomonadati; Pseudomonadota; Alphaproteobacteria; Rhodospirillales; Azospirillaceae. The record is from RNAcentral.
GUCCGCGUAGCUCAGCAGGAUAGAGCACAGGAUUCCUGGUUUUUAAUUGGGCGUUGCGUUUGGAAACGGCGCAGCGGAUCCGCUCAAAGUCGGGGAACGCUACGGCGCGCUUGCGCCUUGCCGAUCCCGAGCCAAGCCCCCGACAGGGGGAAGGUGUAGAGACUGGAUGGGCGGCACCUACGGGCCUCGGCCUAUGGUGAAGGGACAGUCCAGACCACGAACGCCGGACCAAACGUUGGACGGUGGCGGCGAAAGCCGAAGUGGUAUGAAUCCUGGGGCCGUGGGUUCGAAUCCCGCCGCGGACACCA